This 310-nucleotide ribosomal RNA is filed under the name uncultured Glomeromycotina. Its description in RNAcentral is "LSU rRNA". The record is from RNAcentral. Lineage: Eukaryota; Fungi; Glomeromycota.
UUGAAAGGGAAACGAUUGAAGUCAGUCAUGCUGGUGGGAAUCAACUUAGGGGAAACUCUGGGUGCACUUCUUCGCUUGGCAGGUCAACGUCGAUUUUGAAUGUCAUAAAAUAAUUGGGGAAGGUAGCUUCUUCGGGAGUGUUAUAGCCCUUGAUAGAUGUGAUGUUUGAGGUCGAGGAUUGCAACGGAUACCUUUGGGGCUAGCUGCCUGAUCUCUAAUUGGUGUUGGGUUACGGAUAGCAUGCUGACCGUGAUCUAAUUACUGGUUAAAAGGUUAGAGUAUGCAUAGAUUCGUUAAGGAUGUUGACGUA